Molecule: ribosomal RNA, 195 nt
Filed under: Salmonella enterica subsp. enterica serovar Infantis
Lineage: Bacteria; Pseudomonadati; Pseudomonadota; Gammaproteobacteria; Enterobacterales; Enterobacteriaceae
Also listed under: 2 other names
Description: partial 23S ribosomal RNA
Rfam family: Bacterial large subunit ribosomal RNA
Source: RNAcentral
CACUGCCCGGUAGCUAAAUGCGGAAGAGAUAAGUGCUGAAAGCAUCUAAGCACGAAACUUGCCCCGAGAUGAGUUCUCCCUGAGACUUAGAGUCUCCUGAAGGAACGUUGAAGACGACGACGUUGAUAGGCCGGGUGUGUAAGCGCAGCGAUGCGUUGAGCUAACCGGUACUAAUGAACCGUGAGGCUUAACCUU